This 701-nucleotide ribosomal RNA is filed under the name uncultured Peptostreptococcus sp. RNAcentral's name for it is "bacterial SSU rRNA". It matches the Rfam family "Bacterial small subunit ribosomal RNA", at positions 95 to 815 of the family's 1533-position model. Lineage: Bacteria; Bacillati; Bacillota; Clostridia; Peptostreptococcales; Peptostreptococcaceae. The record is from RNAcentral.
GCGGCGGACGGGUGAGUAACGCGUGGGUAACCUGCCCUGUACACACGGAUAACAUACCGAAAGGUAUGCUAAUACGAGAUAAUAUGCUUUUAUCGCAUGGUAGAAGUAUCAAAGUUUUUGCGGUACAGGAUGGACCCGCGUCUGAUUAGCUAGUUGGUAAGGUAAUGGCUUACCAAGGCGACGAUCAGUAGCCGACCUGAGAGGGUGAUCGGCCACAUUGGAACUGAGACACGGUCCAAACUCCUACGGGAGGCAGCAGUGGGGAAUAUUGCACAAUGGGCGAAAGCCUGAUGCAGCAACGCCGCGUGAGCGAUGAAGGCCUUCGGGUCGUAAAGCUCUGUCCUCAAGGAAGAUAAUGACGGUACUUGAGGAGGAAGCCCCUGCUAACUACGUGCCAGCAGCCGCGGUAGUACGUAGGGGGCUAGCGUUAUCCGGAAUUACUGGGCGUAAAGGGUGCGUAGGUGGUUUCUUAAGUCAGAGGUGAAAGGCUACGGCUCAACCGUAGUAAGCCUUUGAAACUGGGAAACUUGAGUGCAGGAGAGGAGAGUGGAAUUCCUAGUGUAGCGGUGAAAUGCGUAGAUAUUAGGAGGAACACCAGUUGCGAAGGCGGCUCUCUGGACUGUAACUGACACUGAGGCACGAAAGCGUGGGGAGCAAACAGGAUUAGAUACCCUGGUAGUCCACGCCGUAAACGAUGAGUA